Molecule: ribosomal RNA, 615 nt
Filed under: Triticum aestivum (bread wheat)
Lineage: Eukaryota; Viridiplantae; Streptophyta; Magnoliopsida; Poales; Poaceae
Description: partial small subunit ribosomal RNA
Source: RNAcentral
CUCCGUGCUAACCUGAAAUGGCGGGUUAAAGGUCUCGCUGUUCUGGAAAGAUCCCGCAAACGUCAAGCCUCCGGGAUUCGCUACCUCCGCGAGGGCGAUGCCAACACCAAAAUUUUCCAUCUACGAGUUAAUGCGAGGAAGCGCAAAAAUCACAUCUUGAGACUCAAGCAUAACACUGGCUGGGCUGUGACUCACGAUGAUAAAGCCGGGCUGAUCUUCGACCACUUCUCCCGCGUUCUAGGUCGGCCUCCUCCUAGUACGCUAGACUUCAACUGGGAUGCCCUGAACCUCACCACCCACCCUUUGGAGGAUCUGGGCCUGCCUUUCUAUGAGGAUGAGAUAAAGGAGGCUAUUGAUGACAUGCCCGCGGACAAGGCUCCGGGCCCUGACGGUUUUACUAUCGCCUUCUUUCGCUCUUGCUGGGAUAUAAUCAAGGAUGACCUUAUGUCCGUCAUCAAUGCCUUUUCCGAGCUUUCUGCGUCCAAUUUCCACAUCAUCAACACAGCCAAUGUCGUGCUUCUGCCUAAAAAGGACGGUGCGGAGUCCAUAUCGGAUUUCAGGCCCAUCAGUCUCAUCCAUGUGGUUCCGAAGAUCAUCGCCAAAGCUAUGGCAUGA